UACGGAAGGCAGCAGUGGGGAAUAUUGCACAAUGGGCGCAAGCCUGAUGCAGCCAUGCCGCGUGUAUGAAGAAGGCCUUCGGGUUGUAAAGUACUUUCAGUCGUGAGGAAGGUGUUAAGGUUAAUAACCUUAGCAAUUGACGUUAGCGACAGAAGAAGCACCGGCUAACUCCGUGCCAGCAGCCGCGGUAAUACGGAGGGUGCGAGCGUUAAUCGGAAUUACUGGGCGUAAAGGGCACGCAGGCGGUUAAUUAAGUUGGAUGUGAAAUCCCCGGGCUUAACCUGGGAAUGGCAUUCAAGACUGGUUAGCUAGAGUCUUGUAGAGGGGGUAGAAUUCCAUGUGUAGCGGUGAAAUGCGUAGAGAUGUGGAGGAAUACCGGGUGGCGAAGGCGGCCCCUGGGACAAAGGGCUGACGCUCAUGUGCGAAAGCGUGGGGAGCGAAACAGGGAUUAGAUACC
This 457-nucleotide ribosomal RNA is filed under the name uncultured bacterium. RNAcentral's name for it is "bacterial SSU rRNA". It matches the Rfam family "Bacterial small subunit ribosomal RNA", at positions 340 to 786 of the family's 1533-position model. The record is from RNAcentral.